This 441-nucleotide ribosomal RNA is filed under the name uncultured bacterium. Its description in RNAcentral is "partial 16S ribosomal RNA". It matches the Rfam family "Bacterial small subunit ribosomal RNA", at positions 338 to 795 of the family's 1533-position model. The record is from RNAcentral.
CCUACGGGAUGCUGCAGUGGGGGAUAUUGCACAAUGGGGGGAACCCUGAUGCAGCGACGCCGCGUGGGUGAAGGAGUAUUUCGGUAUGUAAAGCCCCAUCGGCAGGGAAGAAUUUAGACGGUACCUGACUAAGAAGCCCCGGCUAACUACGUGCCAGCAGCCGCGGUAAUCCGUAGGGGGCAAGCGUUAUCCGGAUUCACUGGGUGUAAGGGGAGCGUAGACGGCCAGGCAAGCCUGGAGUGAAAGCCCGGGGCCCAACCCCGGGACUGCUCUGGGGACUGUCCGGCGGGAGUGCGGGAGGGGCAGGCGGAAUUCCUGGUGUAGCGGUGAAAUGCGUAGAUAUCAGGAGGAACACCGGCGGCGAAGGCGGCCUGCUGGACCGCGACUGACGUUGAGGCUCGAAAGCGUGGGGAGCGAACAGGAUUAGAUACCCCUGUAGUC